Molecule: ribosomal RNA, 500 nt
Filed under: uncultured bacterium
Lineage: Bacteria
Description: partial 16S ribosomal RNA
Rfam family: Bacterial small subunit ribosomal RNA
Source: RNAcentral
AUUGAACGCUGGCGGAAUGCUUUACACAUGCAAGUCGAGCGGCAGCGCGGGGGCAACCCUGGCGGCGAGCGGCGAACGGGUGAGUAAUGUAUCGGAACGUACCCAGUCGUGGGGGAUAACUAUCCGAAAGGAUAGCUAAUACCGCAUACGACCUGAGGGUGAAAGCGGGGGACCGUAAGGCCUCGCGCGAUUGGAGCGGCCGAUAUCGGAUUAGCUAGUUGGUGAGGUAAAGGCUCACCAAGGCGACGAUCCGUAGCUGGUCUGAGAGGACGACCAGCCACACUGGAACUGAGACACGGUCCAGACUCCUACGGGAGGCAGCAGUGGGGAAUUUUGGACAAUGGGGGCAACCCUGAUCCAGCCAUUCCGCGUGAGUGAAGAAGGCCUUCGGGUUGUAAGGCUCUUUCGGCAGGAACGAAACGGUCUCACCUAAUACGUGGGGCUAAUGACGGUACCUGAGGAAGAAGCACCGGCUAACUACGUGCCAGCCGCCGCGGUAA